Long non-coding RNA from Peromyscus eremicus (cactus mouse), 585 nucleotides. RefSeq lists it as uncharacterized. NCBI's taxonomy places the organism in Eukaryota, Metazoa, Chordata, Mammalia, Rodentia, Cricetidae. The record is from RefSeq and is a predicted model, not a curated record. The transcript is spliced from 2 exons.
CCUGUUGGUUGGCUGGUCUUAUGUCCGUGCUUUCCACUCCUGCCAACUCCUGGUCUCUACUGUCUGGACAGAUCAAACAGUGACAGUAACAACGACAUGGACAAGGUCUACUAGUUCUACCAAAAUGGAAGCUAUAGCUGGCUGGCGUCUUCUCAACCCAACAUCUACGUUUGGCUUUCCCGCCCAGCCUUAUUCUGUCUGGCUAUAGGCCAAAACAACUUUAUAAUCAACCAACGAAAGAAACACAUAUUCACAGCAUUCAGAAGGAUACACCACAGGAUUUCCACCCUUCUGUCUAAUCAAAAAGGAAGGUUUAAACUUUAACGUGAUAAAAUUAUGUUCAACAAAAGAGCAAGCUCUAAGAACAUUUCAAUGGCUCAGGGAGAGCACUGAACCGAUUCCACAUGUAUGCCCCAAAUAAUCUCUUAGCAGCAAGAAAACUAGCCAGCUCAUUGGGUAAGUAAUGGUAAGUGACCGCGGACUUUCUUCCUGCACAGGAAGAGAACAUGGGUAUCUGUUUUCACGCUAUUUAACACCAGACUAGAGGUUCCACUGUUUUAACAAAUAAAUGAAAUACCAAAUCUA